CUGGCGGCACGCUUAACACAUGCAAGUCGAACGAGAUCUUCGGAUCUAGUGGCAGACGGGUGAGUAACGCGUGGGAACCUGCCCAGUAGUAGAGAAUAACUUGGGGAAACUUAAGCUAAUACUUUAUACGUCCUUCGGGAGAAAGCUUUAUGCGCUAUUGGAUGGGCCCGCGUUAGAUUAGUUUGUUGGUGAGGUAACGGCUCACCAAGGCGACGAUCUAUAGCUGGUCUGAGAGGAUGAUCAGCCACACUGGGACUGAGACACGGCCCAGACUCCUACGGGAGGCAGCAGUGGGGAAUAUUGGACAAUGGGGGCAACCCUGAUCCAGCGAUGCCGCGUGAGUGAUGAAGGCCCUAGGGUUGUAAAACUCUUUCGUCAGGGAAGAUAAUGACGGUACCUGAAGAAGAAGAUCCGGCUAACUCCGUGCCAGCAGCCGCGGUAAUACGGAGGGGUCUAGCGUUAUUCGGAAUUACUGGGCGUAAAGCGAGCGUAGGCGGAUUUGUAAGUUGGAGGUGAAAUCCCAGAGCUUAACUCUGGAACUGCCUUCAAAACUACAUUUCUUGAGUUUGGUAGAGGAGAGUGGAAUUCCUAGUGUAGAGGUGAAAUUCGUAGAUAUUAGGAGGAACACCAGUGGCGAAGGCGACUCUCUGGGCCAAUACUGACGCUGAGGUUCGAAAGCAUGGGUAGCGAACAGGAUUAGAUACCCUGGUAGUCCAUGCAGUAAACGAUGAGUGCUAGAUGUUGGGAAUUUAAAUUUCCAGUAUCGCAGUUAACGCGUUAAGCACUCCGCCU
Molecule: ribosomal RNA, 792 nt
Filed under: uncultured Alphaproteobacteria bacterium
Lineage: Bacteria; Pseudomonadati; Pseudomonadota; Alphaproteobacteria
Description: bacterial SSU rRNA
Rfam family: Bacterial small subunit ribosomal RNA
Source: RNAcentral